GUUGAACGCUGGCGGAAUGCUUUACACAUGCAAGUCGAACGGCAGCACGGACUUCGGUCUGGUGGCGAGUGGCGAACGGGUGAGUAAUGUAUCGGAACGUGCCCAGUCGUGGGGGAUAACGUAGUGAAAAUUACGCUAAUACCGCAUACGAUCUAUGGAUGAAAGCGGGGGAUCGCAAGACCUCGCGCGAUUGGAGCGGCAGAUAUCAGAUUAGGUAGUUGGUGGGGUAAAGGCCCACCAAGCCAACGAUCUGUAGCUGGUCUGAGAGGACGACCAGCCCAACUGGAAAUGAGACACGUUCCAGACUCCUAGGGGAGGCAGCAGUGGGGAAUAUUGAAUAAUGGGCGAAAGCCUGAUCCAGCCAUUCCGCGUUCAGGAUGAAGGCCCUCGGGUUGUAAAAUGCUUUUGUACAGAAAUAAAAGGUUUCUACUAAGACUACGAGCUCAUGACGGUACUGUAAGAAUAAGCACCGGCUAACUACGUGCCAGCCGCCGCCGUAA
RNAcentral lists this ribosomal RNA (500 nucleotides) under uncultured bacterium. RNAcentral's name for it is "partial 16S ribosomal RNA". It matches the Rfam family "Bacterial small subunit ribosomal RNA", at positions 28 to 523 of the family's 1533-position model. The record is from RNAcentral.